ACAGCUACUUCAGUUACCAGCUUGGUUCCAUCAAUCCAAGAGUCCUGCUGCACCCAUCACCUACUGUCAGGACAGCAGUGAGCUGCUGCCUUAUUGCUGGUUACGUUAAUUAAGCAUCGUGACUCCCCACGAGACAGGCAGGUGACACCGAUCCCAACUGCGUGUCGUCAGGUGGUGGAAGUGCCAGACUGUCUUGCACACGAGACGAGGUCUCAGCGGGAAGUCACCCAACCUAUGGAAAGGUCUGCCCCACACGGGAGUCAACACACGCUUCAGCCGAAGCCACGACCUGGACAGCAAAGCCACCUCCGGAUGGCGAGGCAGAGGUGCCUGCGAGGGCACGGGAGGCCGCGGGGACAAGAGGAUGCUGCCGGGCGCUGCCGCGGCGCAAGCCCAGGGCAGCUGGGGCAGCGCCGCUCUGAACAGAUGCAGUGCACGUAGAGCAGAUGCACUGGAGAUGUUUUUUAAAAACACACAUGACAAGAGGAGGACGCGGCGGAGAGCCGCCYGGGCAGGCGCACCGCUGGAGCAACAGCUGCCGGGGGAGGCCGGGAUUAACUUCAUGUGACUUGCAAGAUUACUCAUGGAUGAUGUCCAUAUUUCUACUACMAAAAUGAGUGGUACAUCAAUGCAGCGUUCUGUGGGAAGCUCUCCUGGAAGGCUGCGGGGGAGGGCUCUGCUGAGCCUUUCAGCGCCGUUCGGAAGUGCCUGAGAAGCAGCCAACGUGAACAAGCACGGCUGGCACCAGAAGAGGGUCACAGAUGCUGCUCUGAACACGCCAUUGUGAGACAUCCCCGCGCAGUGUGGGCUCCAGCUGCCGCUGUAGCAAGGACGCGACCGCCACCUGCUGUCCCCAACCCAGCCAGGAGAGCCGAGAAGGGGCAGAAACCCACCCGCCCCUGCCCAUCGGCGGCUCCCAUGGGAUGGAGCCUUCAUUUCCCAACAGAAACUGCSUCACACCUAGCCUUGUUUUCAGUUCUUUUCUCUGAUUUAUCCCCUUGUUCCCCAGCCGAAGGGGCCAACUCCUAUCACCRGUUAUAUGAGCCGAGUGUGAUGAUCAGCCGGCAGUGACACCGCACGACAUCGUUCUGGGAAUGCUGCCUGCCAUGUGAGCUGGGGACAGAGAGGGACACCUUGCCAAAGCAGCUGUGCAGCCAUCCUAUGUGCAUGUCUGUAUGUCCGUGUGGCACUCACAGCUGCCCAGGAGCGCUCACUGGGGCUUUCCAUGCGCUUCUMACACCCAUUUCUCAGAGAUUACAUUCCACUGGGUCUCUUAGCUGCGAGCUCGGGUGAAAUGCAGACAGGGGGAUUGGUUGGGUCAGUGCCAGCACUGGAUGAUGGACCUGCUGGAAAAGGAUUCUGAACUGAGGCAGUUGUCUCUCAGUCCGUGUUUUCUCAUCUGGGAUGCUCUUACCAAUGUCUCAUGUUUCUCCAGUGAUUUAAAAUCAGCCUAAUCCUGUCAUACGCUGCUCUGUAGUCUGUUUUACAUGUGUUGUUUGCUUUCCUAUUAACUCUAGAAUAAUUGKGCACUUGGUUGCUGUUCAAUGUUUAAAUGCUAUUUUUUCCACAUUUAUUGCAAUGGUUUUUUGUUUUGUUUUGUUUUUCUUUGCCUUCUUUUCAGCAGCUUUGGGAAAGAGGUUUUUCUCAUAAAACACCUGUGACUACAUAUUACAGGGGGACUACUUUUGUCUAUUUCCCAUACACUUAUCCUUUGGGAUUUUUGACACAUUUAGCAACAGGUACUUUGAAGAUACUUUUGUUAACUAGUGAAUAAACUAAACAACUAAUUGGUUUGGGGUUUUUUUGGUAUUUUGUUCGGUU
This is a long non-coding RNA of Malurus melanocephalus (red-backed fairy wren), 1821 nucleotides long. RefSeq lists it as uncharacterized. NCBI's taxonomy places the organism in Eukaryota, Metazoa, Chordata, Aves, Passeriformes, Maluridae. The record is from RefSeq and is a predicted model, not a curated record. The transcript has 3 exons.